AGCUUUGUGCAGUGGCAGUUUUGUAGCCAAUGAGGAUCAUCUGAGGCAUGGUCAUUGCUAAUUGAAAACUUUUCCAAAAAUCCUGCCUUGAUGACUUGAAAUAUAGUUGGCACUGGCAAUUAAAGAAAGGAAGGAAG
RNAcentral lists this small nuclear RNA (137 nucleotides) under Salvator merianae (Argentine black and white tegu). Its description in RNAcentral is "U4 spliceosomal RNA (ENSSMRG00000015117.1)". It matches the Rfam family "U4 spliceosomal RNA". Rfam says of the family: U4 small nuclear RNA (U4 snRNA) is a component of the major U2-dependent spliceosome. The structure of U4 snRNA from yeast and human has been reported. U4 snRNA presents a k-turn RNA motif in the 5p-SL related to recognition of Snu13 protein. Lineage: Eukaryota; Metazoa; Chordata; Lepidosauria; Squamata; Teiidae. The record is from Rfam by way of RNAcentral.